GCGGGGCCCGAGCACUGAGGGAAGCUGUACCUC
RNAcentral lists this long non-coding RNA (33 nucleotides) under dengue virus type 3. RNAcentral's name for it is "Dengue virus type 3 partial sfRNA4". Lineage: Riboviria; Orthornavirae; Kitrinoviricota; Flasuviricetes; Amarillovirales; Flaviviridae. The record is from RNAcentral.